GCCCGGGUAGCUCAGCAGGGAGAGCACCGCUUUCACACGGCGGGGGUCGGCGGUUCGAGCCCGUCCCCGGGCA
Molecule: transfer RNA, 73 nt
Filed under: Asanoa ferruginea
Lineage: Bacteria; Bacillati; Actinomycetota; Actinomycetes; Micromonosporales; Micromonosporaceae
Description: tRNA-Val
Rfam family: tRNA
About the family: Transfer RNA (tRNA) molecules are approximately 80 nucleotides in length. Their secondary structure includes four short double-helical elements and three loops (D, anti-codon, and T loops).
Source: RNAcentral